AGCAGCCGCGGUAAUUCCAGCUCCAAUAGCGUAUAUUAAAGUUGUUGCAGUUAAAAAGCUCGUAGUUGAAUUUCGGGAUUGACGUGAUGGUCAUGCCUUAAGGGGUAUGAACUGUUACAGUUGAUUUCUCACCUUCUGGGGAAACUUGAUGUCCUUUAUUGGGUGUCUUGCGGAUCCAGGACCUUUACCUUGAAAAAUUAGAGUGUUUAAAGCAGGCAUUUUUGCUCGAAUACAUUAGCAUGGAAUAAUAGAAUAGGACGGCAUGGUUCUAUUUUGUUGGUUUCUAGGAUCACCGUAAUGAUUAAUAGGGAUAGUUGGGGGCAUUAGUAUUCAAUUGUCAGAGGUGAAAUUCUUGGAUUUAUUGAAGACUAACUACUGCGAAAGCAUUUGCCAAGGAUGUUUUCAUUAAUCAAGAACGAAAGUUAGGGGAUCGAAGACGAUCAGAUACCGUCGUAGUCUUAACCAUAAACUAUGCCGACUAGGAAUCAGACGAUUGUUAAUUUUUUAAUGUACUUCGUUU
This 520-nucleotide ribosomal RNA is filed under the name uncultured Entrophospora. RNAcentral describes it as "SSU rRNA". It matches the Rfam family "Eukaryotic small subunit ribosomal RNA", at positions 569 to 1081 of the family's 1831-position model. Lineage: Eukaryota; Fungi; Glomeromycota; Glomeromycetes; Entrophosporales; Entrophosporaceae. The record is from RNAcentral.